RNAcentral lists this long non-coding RNA (764 nucleotides) under Pan troglodytes (chimpanzee). RNAcentral's name for it is "long non-coding RNA NONPTRT013488". Lineage: Eukaryota; Metazoa; Chordata; Mammalia; Primates; Hominidae. The record is from RNAcentral.
AAGCAGAUGAAGGCCUGAAUUGUCUACUGAGUUUUCAGUGACUUCCUCAAACUUCUCACUUACCUUUCAGUGCUGGCAUCGUCCAGGUCAUAGGAGAAAGUAGUAGGGGUGACUCAAAUAUUUAGUAUUUGCACAGUAAAAAUGUCCAGCUAUGCCAGGUGGAGUGGCUCACACCUAUAAUCCCAGUGCUUUGGGAGGCUGAGCAGGAGGAUUGCAUGAGGCCAAGAGUAUGAGACCAGCCUGGGCAACAUAGUGAGACUCUGUGUCUACAAAAAGUUUUUUUUUUUUAAAUUAGCUGGGCAUGGUGGCAUGUGUCUGUAGUUCUAGCUACUUGGGAGGCUGAGGUGGGAGGAUCAUUUGAGCCCAGGAGUUUGUGGCUGCAGUGAACUAUGGUUGCACCAUUGCACCCCAGCCUGGGCGAUAGAGGGAGACCCUGCUUGUAAAAAGUAAGCCAAGCUCUUUACUGGCUGAAAUUGCAUGGAGUAAGGGAGGGAGUCGAAAUUCUGGGGCAGAGAACUACCUUUUGUUGUUCAUAUGUGUUUGUCUUUAAUAAUGUUCCCCAGUAUCUUAUGUUAAUGAGGAACAUUAAUGCUUUGAUAUCGUUUCAUGGUGCCACUUCAGGGAAUCACUCUUGCUUAAUCUAAGGAGGAUGGAGCUGUACCGAGCUAAAAGUCUGAAUUUGGAGAUGAUAGUGGUGACCUUAUAGGCAAUAUCAGGUUUCUUCCUUACAGUUAACAUCUCUGAAAGGUACGGAUACAAGUUAU